CCUACGGGAGGCAGCAGUGGGGAAUAUUGGGCAAUGGACGCAAGUCUGACCCAGCAACGCCGCGUGAAGGAAGAAGGCUCUCGGGUUGUAAACCUCUUUUAAGGGGGAAGAGCAGAAGACGGUACCUCUUGAAUAAGCCACGGCUAACUACGUGCCAGCAGCCGCGGUCAUACGAAGGUGGCAAGUGUUGUCCGGAUUUACUGGGUGUAAAGGGCGUGUAGCCGGGAAGACAAGUCAGAUGUGAAAUCCCGCGGCUCAACCGCGGAACUGCAUUUGAAACUGGCUGUCUUGAGUAUCGGAGAGGUAAUCGGAAUUCGUGGUGUAGCGGUGAAAUGCGUAGAUAUUAGGAAGAACACCAGUGGCGAAGGCGGAUUACUGGACGACAACUGACGGUGAGGCGCGAAAGCGUGGGGAGCAAACAGGAUUAGAUACCCUUGUAGUC
RNAcentral lists this ribosomal RNA (442 nucleotides) under uncultured bacterium. RNAcentral describes it as "partial 16S ribosomal RNA". It matches the Rfam family "Bacterial small subunit ribosomal RNA", at positions 338 to 795 of the family's 1533-position model. The record is from RNAcentral.